RNAcentral lists this ribosomal RNA (467 nucleotides) under uncultured bacterium. Its description in RNAcentral is "partial 16S ribosomal RNA". It matches the Rfam family "Bacterial small subunit ribosomal RNA", at positions 355 to 831 of the family's 1533-position model. The record is from RNAcentral.
UGGGGAAUAUUGCACAAUGGGCGAAAGCCUGAUGCAGCGACGCCGCGUGAGGGAUGACGGCCUUCGGGUUGUAAACCUCUUUCAGCAGGGAAGAAGCGAAAGUGACGGUACCUGCAGAAGAAGCGCCGGCUAACUACGUGCCAGCAGCCGCGGUAAUAGCGUAGGGCGCAAGCGUUGUCCGGAAUUAUUGGGCGUAAAGAGCUCGUAGGCGGUUAGUCGCGUCUGCAUGUGAAAACUCGAGGCUCAACCUCGGGACUUGCAGUGGGUACGGGCUGACUAGAGUGCGGUAGGGGUGACUGGAAUUCCUGGUGUAGCGGUGGAAUGCGCAGAUAUCAGGAGGAACACCGAUGGCGAAGGCAGGUCACUGGGCCGCAACUGACGCUGAGGAGCGAAAGCAUGGGGAGCGAACAGGAUUAGAUACCCUGGUAGUCCAUGCCGUAAACGUUGGGCACUAGGUGUGGGGUCCA